Molecule: small nuclear RNA, 127 nt
Filed under: Betta splendens (Siamese fighting fish)
Lineage: Eukaryota; Metazoa; Chordata; Actinopteri; Anabantiformes; Osphronemidae
Description: U2 spliceosomal RNA (ENSBSLG00000001140.1)
Rfam family: U2 spliceosomal RNA
About the family: U2 is a small nuclear RNA (snRNA) component of the spliceosome (involved in pre-mRNA splicing).
Source: RNAcentral
AUCGCUUCUCGGCCUUUUGGCUAAGAUCAAGUGUAGUAUCUGUUCUUAUCAGUUUAAUAUCAGAUGCGUCCCCUACACCGGGGGGGGGGACUUUACAGUGUUUUGUCAUGGCGUCCGGACAAGCUUU